GGCCACCCUCUCCCAGCCACCAACACCAACUGCAUGCCCCUUCUGGAUCUGUGCGAGCAUUUCUCUAUGUGUUUUAAGAGAAGGAAUUGGUGGCGGAGGCAGCUUUUCCAACCUUGCCACAUUUCAAAGAAUGAACACAAAGCAGAGUCAGGAGCCCUGGGUUCGAGCUUCAGCUCUGCCAUCUACUAUUCUGACACCCUAAGAAGGCGCAUCAUCUCAUUAAGCUUCAGUCUCUUCAUAGGUCUGCUGGGGAGUACAAUCCCUGUCAGCUACACAGUUUUAGCAAGUGGCACUGAACAAUGUGGAAAGGGCUCUGUACAUCUGUGGGGUCAUUCACAGGAGAACCUUGGCGUUCCCCAGUAAGACUCCAGCUUUCCAAGUCCUGCUCAGCUUGCUCUGACUGAGCAUCAUUCUUUUCCACCUUUUGGAGCUGAGAUGCAAUGGAAAAAAGCAAUGACUCUGAAGUACAAGGGCUGGAGUUCAGGUGUGAAGUGGGGGAUGGUAACCCCUCUUGUGCAAAGUGGUUGUCAGGCCUGGAAGACGCAGCAAAAGGUAGAGUUCUGUAAGGAGUGGUGCGCCUGGUAAUCUGAGAGGGACCACGGCUAACUUCAACACCACUACAGCAAACACAAACAACUCUUCUUCCUGAAGACCUGGGCAGAACCGCUCUUGCUCUCCCCAGCCCCCAAAGUUAGGAUUUCAUCAGCCAGGUCUCUCCAUUUGAUUUUGUUGUUUUGCAACUGAAUGCCCAGCGGGCAGUCAUUUCAAAGUCCUGGGCCAGCUUGGGGGGGCGGCUGCCUGCUGAGAGCGGUUGAAAGGGCCUCUGAGGCCUCAGAAAGCCACCCUUGCUCUCCCCUGUGAUUUUCACCAAUGGACAAAAUGCGGCAAGUG
Molecule: long non-coding RNA, 891 nt
Filed under: Chinchilla lanigera (long-tailed chinchilla)
Lineage: Eukaryota; Metazoa; Chordata; Mammalia; Rodentia; Chinchillidae
Description: lncRNA (ENSCLAG00000026492.1)
Source: RNAcentral